GAACUGGCUAUCCUGGCCAUGACAGAUUGAGAGGCCAGCUGCCUAUCAGUACAGGAGCUCUUUGGAGAAAGGACUGGAGGAAGUGUUGAAAAGACUAAAACAUGAAUAAAUUUGUGACUGAGCAGGAGGUAACCGAGAGAGGUGUUUAUAAUGAGGUUGUUUCCCUCCUGGCACAUAUGGCUGACCAAAAUAAGAACAAAAUUGCCCUCAGGAUUGCCUCUAUAGCUAAGACCAAGCUGGCUAGUGUUGUGAGAGUUCUGCUGGAGAAACUGCAACAGGAUGAGUUCUGGAAAAAUGGUCAAGAGCAGUAAAUUUCUAUUUCACUAACUGGGAAAAG
Long non-coding RNA from Mauremys reevesii (Reeves's turtle), 337 nucleotides. RefSeq lists it as uncharacterized. The transcript has 3 exons. NCBI's taxonomy places the organism in Eukaryota, Metazoa, Chordata, Testudines, Geoemydidae. The record is from RefSeq and is a predicted model, not a curated record.